RNAcentral lists this ribosomal RNA (495 nucleotides) under uncultured bacterium. RNAcentral describes it as "partial 16S ribosomal RNA". It matches the Rfam family "Bacterial small subunit ribosomal RNA", at positions 28 to 507 of the family's 1533-position model. The record is from RNAcentral.
GACGAACGCUGGCGGCGUGCUUAACACAUGCAAGUCGAACGGAAAGGCCCUGCUUUUGUGGGGUGCUCGAGUGGCGAACGGGUGAGUAACACGUGGAUAACCUGCCUAUGAGACUGGGAUAACUUCGGGAAACCGGAGCUAAUACCGGAUAAUAUAUUGAACCGCAUGGUUGAGUAGUGAAAGACGGGGUUGUUGGCACUUAUCGAUGGGUCCGCGCCGUAUUAGCUAGUUGGUAAGGUAACGGCUUACCAAGGCAACGAUGCGUAGCCGACCUGAGAGGGUGAUCGGCCACACUGGAACUGAGACACGGUCCAGACUCCUACGGGAGGCAGCAGUAGGGAAUCUUCCGCAAUGGGCGAAAGCUUGACGGAGCAACGCCGCGUGAGUGAUGAAGGUCUUCGGAUCGUAAAACUCUGUUAUUAGGGAAGAACAAAUGUGUAAGUAACUAUGCACGUCUUGACGGUACCUAAUCAGAAAGCCACGGCUAACUACGUG